CGUAAAUACAAAAAAAACUGUACGAAUAUGAAAACAUUGCCGGUUUACUGUCGAUUUUAAGCCGUCGGAAAAAUUUUUAGUGUCAGCCGUUGCUGGUAUUUGUCGGCGUUGGUCUCUAAGUAAAAUCCAUCCACAAAUUUAUUAAGUGAGGAAGAUUAUACUACUUUUUUUUAAAAUGGGUUCAAAUGAAAGAACAAGGUCACCAAGAGCCGAUGAUAAUGGCAACGAAUCUGUGUCUCCAAAAAAGUUUCGAGUUGAUUCUGGAUUUUUUGUUUUUUUUUUCUUUUCUUUUCUUUUCGCAUAGACAACAUAUAUAAAGUCUUUAAGUUCGAGAAUAUUUGUUGAUUGAGAAUAGCUGGUUGCGGAAUAUUCAAGGAUUCUAUUUGGUUAUAUUAAUUAUUCCUCUUGAGUACAACAAUAAAUCUACUUAAUUAAAUAGGAGUGUUAAUACCAAAUAAUUUGUAGAUUAUUUUUAUUACAAAAACUACUUAAAAAUUUCAAAAUUGUUUCACAUUAAACAUUUAAUAGAAUUGAGUGUAUAAAAAGUAAAAUACAAAAGAAACAAUUUACUUUGCUUUA
Molecule: long non-coding RNA, 579 nt
Filed under: Lucilia cuprina (Australian sheep blowfly)
Lineage: Eukaryota; Metazoa; Arthropoda; Insecta; Diptera; Calliphoridae
Description: uncharacterized LOC111687233, transcript variant X1
Source: RNAcentral